CGACUAAGGUUCGACUCGAGCGCCAGCGAGAGAACGUUGCCGCAGGCAACGGCCCGAAGGGCGAGGA
Molecule: small RNA, 67 nt
Filed under: Klebsiella variicola
Lineage: Bacteria; Pseudomonadati; Pseudomonadota; Gammaproteobacteria; Enterobacterales; Enterobacteriaceae
Description: RtT RNA
Rfam family: RtT RNA
About the family: This family represents a bacterial cis-regulatory element known as RtT RNA. The exact function of RtT is unknown although it is thought that it may be involved in changing the cellular response in relation to amino acid starvation.
Source: RNAcentral